ACGACUAAAUCACGUUGAAUCACCGAUUCCCGUACGAUCACUGAAGUUAAGCGACGUCGAGCCUGGUCAGUACCUCGAUGGAUGACUGCUUGGGGAUACUUGGCAC
This is a non-coding RNA of Acanthosepion pharaonis, 106 nucleotides long. The record is from the annotation of a GenBank genome assembly. NCBI's taxonomy places the organism in Eukaryota, Metazoa, Mollusca, Cephalopoda, Sepiida, Sepiidae.